UGGGGAAUUUUGGACAAUGGGCGAAAGCCUGAUCCAGCAAUGCCGCGUGUGUGAAGAAGGUUUUCGGAUCGUAAAACUCUGUCUUUUGGGGCGAACGUGAGUAUGGUGAACAAUCAUAGUCAGUGACGGUACCAAAGGAGGAAGCCACGGCUAACUACGUGCCAGCAGCCGCGGUAAUACGUAGGUGGCAAGCGUUGUCCGGAAUUAUUGGGCGUAAAGAGCGCGUAGGCGGGAUAGUCAGUCUGUUGUAAAAGUGCGGGGCUCAACCCCGUGAUGGCAAUGGAAACAGCUAUUCUUGAGUGCAGGAGAGGAAAGUGGAAUUCCCAGUGUAGCGGUGAAAUGCGUAGAUAUUGGGAGGAACACCAGUGGCGAAGGCGACUUUCUGGACUGUGUCUGACGCUGAGGCGCGAAAGCCAGGGGAGCGAACGGGAUUAGAUACCCCGGUAGUCCUGGCCGUAAACGAUGGGUACUAGGUGUGGGAGGUAUCGACCCCUUCCGUGCCGGAGUUAACGCAAUAAGUACCCCGCCUGGGGAGUACGGUCGCAAGACUGAAACUUAAAUGAAUUGACGGGGGUCAUAGCUGUUUCCUG
This 590-nucleotide ribosomal RNA is filed under the name uncultured bacterium. RNAcentral describes it as "partial 16S ribosomal RNA". It matches the Rfam family "Bacterial small subunit ribosomal RNA", at positions 355 to 941 of the family's 1533-position model. The record is from RNAcentral.